This 253-nucleotide ribosomal RNA is filed under the name uncultured bacterium. Its description in RNAcentral is "partial 16S ribosomal RNA". It matches the Rfam family "Bacterial small subunit ribosomal RNA", at positions 524 to 776 of the family's 1533-position model. The record is from RNAcentral.
UACAGAGGCCCCGAGCGUUAUCCGGAAUUAUUGGGCGUAAAGGGUGUGUAGGUGGCGUUGUUAGUCUUUUGUGAAAGACCCGAGCUUAACUUGGGAAACGCGAGGGAAACGGCAAUGCUUGAGUAUGUGAGAGGUAAGCAGAACUCAUGGUGUAGGGGUGAAAUCCGUUGAUAUCAUGGGGAAUACCAAAAGCGAAGGCAGCUUACUGGCGCAUUACUGACACUGAAACACGAAAGCAUGGGUAGCGAAUGGG